RNAcentral lists this long non-coding RNA (352 nucleotides) under Homo sapiens (human). RNAcentral's name for it is "HSALNT0301234". The record is from RNAcentral. Lineage: Eukaryota; Metazoa; Chordata; Mammalia; Primates; Hominidae.
AGAAAGAGCUGGAGUCCUUUAAAAUCAACUGCCUGUUUUUCUGUGGCUAGUGAGCCUUCUCUCUCCCUUUCCCAGGCAUUGUGAAGACUGUUUCUCUAGCUAUGCAGCUGUAAGGUCACUAGACAGAUAAUCUCAAGUCAUAAAACAUGUUGUUCCUUAAAAAUAAAAAGUAAUAUAAUGCAUGUCUCAGUUAAAUAACUGUCUUUGCUUCUUGUUUCUAUAAUAGGCUUCCCCCUGCACAGAUCUCCCCUCGCCCCACAAAAUGCUUAAAAGGUAGCUUAACUCUGUUCAAGGCUGUGUCCUUUAAAUGUUAAUCUGACUGGUUUGGUGCAUCUAAAUAAUUAAAUAAUUC